This 629-nucleotide ribosomal RNA is filed under the name Mrakia gelida. RNAcentral describes it as "eukaryotic LSU rRNA". It matches the Rfam family "Eukaryotic large subunit ribosomal RNA", at positions 38 to 650 of the family's 3401-position model. Lineage: Eukaryota; Fungi; Basidiomycota; Tremellomycetes; Cystofilobasidiales; Mrakiaceae. The record is from RNAcentral.
GCAUAUCAAUAAGCGGAGGAAAAGAAACUAACAAGGAUUCCCCUAGUAACGGCGAGUGAAGCGGGAUGAGCUCAAAUUUAAAAUCUGGCGGCCUCAGGUCGUCCGAGUUGUAGUCUAGAGAAUCGUUUUCCGCGUUGGCCUGUGUACAAGUCCCUUGGAACAGGGCGUCAUAGAGGGUGAGAAUCCCGUCCUUGACACAGACUACCAAUGCUUUGUGAUGCGAUCUCGAAGAGUCGAGUUGUUUGGGAAUGCAGCUCAAAAUGGGUGGUAAAUUCCAUCUAAAGCUAAAUAUUGGCGAGAGACCGAUAGCGAACAAGUACCGUGAGGGAAAGAUGAAAAGCACUUUGGAAAGAGAGUUAAACAGUACGUGAAAUUGUUAAAAGGGAAACGAUUGAAGUCAGUCAUGCUUUCCGAGACUCAGCCGAUUCUGUCGGUGUACUUCUCGGUUGGCAGGCCAGCAUCAGUUUCGAUCUGUGGAAAAGGUUGGAGGGAACGUGGCAUCCUCGGAUGUGUUAUAGCCCUUCUUCGAAUACAUAGAGCGGGACUGAGGAACGCAGCGCGCCUUUUAUUAGGUUGGCCCUCGGGUACAUACGCGCUUAGGAUGCUGGCAUAAUGGCUUUAAACGACCC